This 504-nucleotide ribosomal RNA is filed under the name uncultured bacterium. Its description in RNAcentral is "bacterial SSU rRNA". It matches the Rfam family "Bacterial small subunit ribosomal RNA", at positions 28 to 512 of the family's 1533-position model. The record is from RNAcentral.
GAUGAACGCUGGCGGCGUGCCUAAUACAUGCAAGUCGAGCGAAUGGAUUAAGAGCUUGCUCUUAUGAAGUUAGCGGCGGACGGGUGAGUAACACGUGGGUAACCUGCCCAUAAGACUGGGAUAACUCCGGGAAACCGGGGCUAAUACCGGAUAACAUUUUGAACCGCAUGGUUCGAAAUUGAAAGGCGGCUUCGGCUGUCACUUAUGGAUGGACCCGCGUCGCAUUAGCUAGUUGGUGAGGUAACGGCUCACCAAGGCAACGAUGCGUAGCCGACCUGAGAGGGUGAUCGGCCACACUGGGACUGAGACACGGCCCAGACUCCUACGGGAGGCAGCAGUAGGGAAUCUUCCGCAAUGGACGAAAGUCUGACGGAGCAACGCCGCGUGAGUGAUGAAGGCUUUCGGGUCGUAAAACUCUGUUGUUAGGGAAGAACAAGUGCUAGUUGAAUAAGCUGGCACCUUGACGGUACCUAACCAGAAAGCCACGGCUAACUACGUGCCAGC